AUCCUUUUGUGACUCAUAGUGUAAUAAUUAGGUGGGGACAUGUGCCUCCCUUGAAUCUUAUUACAUCAGUACAUUACCUGUCUGAUG
Small nucleolar RNA from Sorex araneus (European shrew), 87 nucleotides. Lineage: Eukaryota; Metazoa; Chordata; Mammalia; Eulipotyphla; Soricidae. The record is from Ensembl.